GGGGUUGACCGGUUUUGACAGCGUGUAGAGGUGGUGUGUAAGCAUGCAGAGCAAUGAUGGCUACGCUCUUUAAUCUGGGACAUCACAAUUUCAAAUGGCGAAAAACAGUACGCUCUUGCUGCGUAAUCGAAGUACAGUAGAUGACGCUUAAUCUCCGCGACAGUCGCAGAGACAAGACAUCGCCCGAUUGUCCUCUUCCCGAGACUAAUCGACAAGGCGGUGCAGCUAAAUCGGGAAUAGGGUUCCGAAAGCCUCGCGAAGAGCCCGAAACAACAGAGGAUAAGGUCGCGGUUGGCAGUCCUCAGCCUGCCACGGCUCGAAAACCAAGAGAGGAAUAAGCAUGUAGAAAGCUCAUUAGUUCCACGUUUGGACGAGGGUUCGAGUCCCUCCAGCUCCACUA
Molecule: non-coding RNA, 400 nt
Organism: Bacteroidales bacterium 52_46
Lineage: Bacteria; Pseudomonadati; Bacteroidota; Bacteroidia; Bacteroidales
Source: Rfam